RNAcentral lists this ribosomal RNA (484 nucleotides) under uncultured bacterium. Its description in RNAcentral is "partial 16S ribosomal RNA". It matches the Rfam family "Bacterial small subunit ribosomal RNA", at positions 38 to 507 of the family's 1533-position model. The record is from RNAcentral.
GGGGGGCGGGGGCGGCGGGCUGGGCGGGGGCGGGUCGGGCGGCGGCGCGGGCUUCGGCCUGGCGGCGAGUGGCGAACGGGUGAGUAAUGCAUCGGAACGUGCCCAGUAGUGGGGGAUAGCCCGGCGAAAGCCGGAUUAAUACCGCAUACGACCUGAGGGUGAAAGCGGGGGACCGAAAGGCCUCGCGCUAUUGGAGCGGCCGAUGUCGGAUUAGCUAGUUGGUGGGGUAAAGGCUUACCAAGGCGACGAUCCGUAGCUGGUCUGAGAGGACGACCAGCCACACUGGGACUGAGACACGGCCCAGACUCCUACGGGAGGCAGCAGUGGGGAAUUUUGGACAAUGGGGGCAACCCUGAUCCAGCCAUGCCGCGUGCGGGAAGAAGGCCUUCGGGUUGUAAACCGCUUUUGUUCGGGAAGAAAUCCUCUGGGCUAAUACCCCGGGGGGAUGACGGUACCGGAAGAAUAAGCACCGGCUAACUACGUG